This 87-nucleotide signal recognition particle RNA is filed under the name Treponema sp. RNAcentral describes it as "signal recognition particle sRNA small type". It matches the Rfam family "Bacterial small signal recognition particle RNA". Rfam says of the family: The signal recognition particle (SRP) is a universally conserved ribonucleoprotein involved in the co-translational targeting of proteins to membranes. Archaeal SRP consists of a 7S RNA and homologues of the eukaryotic SRP19 and SRP54 proteins. The record is from RNAcentral. Lineage: Bacteria; Pseudomonadati; Spirochaetota; Spirochaetia; Treponematales; Treponemataceae.
GGAACCAUGCGAGGAGGGGCCGCCCAACCCCGUCAGGUCCGGAAGGAAGCAGCGGUAAGCGGAACCCUCCUGCGCCGUGGGGGCGCA